UCAUAGUUCCGGUCAACAGCGGCAGGAAUGAGAAGCUGUUGACAGGCGGCGGUAGCUAACCACAGAGGGGGGAUGAGGCUGACACACUGCUCUGCUAUCUGAGGACUGUUAAACGACCAUGUUCACGAUGGUUUUGUUUUCAUCUAUUGUCACUGAGUCAUGCAGCAACUUGCACGUUUGCCUCCGACUACCAGUUUGAUGAAAACAGCUUCAUAUUUCUAUGAGGAAAGCGGUUCUGCUUUCAGAGAUGCUGACCAAAUGCAAAGGAAGAACACAUUUCCAAAGGAGAAAAAAAAAGAAGAAAAGGAAGAAAAAGAAACAACUCUACAAAUUUUAAGCUAACAUUAACAC
Molecule: long non-coding RNA, 351 nt
Organism: Anoplopoma fimbria (sablefish)
Lineage: Eukaryota; Metazoa; Chordata; Actinopteri; Perciformes; Anoplopomatidae
Exons: 3
Source: RefSeq, a predicted model, not a curated record